This 94-nucleotide ribosomal RNA is filed under the name Cytobacillus purgationiresistens. Its description in RNAcentral is "partial 23S ribosomal RNA". It matches the Rfam family "Bacterial large subunit ribosomal RNA", at positions 2831 to 2925 of the family's 2925-position model. The record is from RNAcentral. Lineage: Bacteria; Bacillati; Bacillota; Bacilli; Caryophanales; Bacillaceae.
AGAUCCCUGAAAGAUGAUCAGGUUGAUAGGUCAGAGGUGGAAGUGUGGCGACACAUGGAGCUGACUGAUACUAAUCGGUCGAGGACUUAACCAA